UGAGGAAUAUUGCGCAAUGGGCGAAAGCCUGAUCCAGCCAUGCCGCGUGAGUGAAGAAGGCCUUCGGGUUGUAAAGCUCUUUUAGUCGGAAAGAAAAGAUCAUAAUGAACAAUUAUGAUUCAUGACGGUACCGACAGAAAAAGCACCGGCUAACUACGUGCCAGCAGCCGCGGUAAUACGUAGGGUGCGAGCGUUAAUCGGAAUUACUGGGCGUAAAGGGUGCGCAGGCGGUCUUGCAAGUCAGAUGUGAAAGCCCCGGGCUUAACCUGGGAAUUGCGUUUGAAACUACAAGGCUAGAGUGCAGCAGAGGGGAGUGGAAUUCCAUGUGUAGCAGUGAAAUGCGUAGAGAUGUGGAAGAACACCGAUGGCGAAGGCAGCUCCCUGGGUUGACACUGACGCUCAUGCACGAAAGCGUGGGGAGCAAACA
RNAcentral lists this ribosomal RNA (427 nucleotides) under uncultured beta proteobacterium. Its description in RNAcentral is "bacterial SSU rRNA". It matches the Rfam family "Bacterial small subunit ribosomal RNA", at positions 355 to 774 of the family's 1533-position model. The record is from RNAcentral. Lineage: Bacteria; Pseudomonadati; Pseudomonadota; Betaproteobacteria.